Molecule: non-coding RNA, 97 nt
Organism: Armillaria fumosa
Lineage: Eukaryota; Fungi; Basidiomycota; Agaricomycetes; Agaricales; Physalacriaceae
Source: the annotation of a GenBank genome assembly
GCAUCAAUGGGGUAGUGGGAACCUGGGUUGUUUUUGUGGAGAAGUAGCAGAUCAUGCCCUUAUUGACUCACUGGGGGUUUGAUUCCCUCUUGAUGCA